UACGAAGGGGAGCUAGCGUUGCUCGGAAUCACUGGGCGUAAAGGGUGCGUAGGCGGGUCUUUUAAGUCAGGGGUGAAAUCCUGGAGCUCAACUCCAGAACUGCCUUUGAUACUGAGGAUCUUGAGUUCGGGAGAGGUGAGUGGAACUGCGAGUGUAGAGGUGAAAUUCGUAGAUAUUCGCAAGAACACCAGUGGCGAAGGCGGCUCACUGGCCCGAUACUGACGCUGAGGCACGAAAGCGUGGGGAGCAAACAGG
RNAcentral lists this ribosomal RNA (255 nucleotides) under uncultured bacterium. RNAcentral describes it as "partial 16S ribosomal RNA". It matches the Rfam family "Bacterial small subunit ribosomal RNA", at positions 524 to 776 of the family's 1533-position model. The record is from RNAcentral.